UACGAGGGGGGCAAGCGUUGCUCGGAAUUACUGGGCGUAAAGCGCACGUAGGCGGCUUCUUAAGUCGGUGGUGAAAUCCUGGAGCUCAACUCCAGAACUGCCUUUGAUACUGCAAGUCUCGAGUCCGGAAGAGGUGAGUGGAAUUCCUAGUGUAGAGGUGAAAUUCGUAGAUAUUAGGAAGAACACCAGUGGCGAAGGCGGCUCACUGGUCCGGUACUGACGCUGAGGUGCGAAAGCGUAGGGAGCAAACAGG
RNAcentral lists this ribosomal RNA (253 nucleotides) under uncultured bacterium. RNAcentral's name for it is "partial 16S ribosomal RNA". It matches the Rfam family "Bacterial small subunit ribosomal RNA", at positions 524 to 776 of the family's 1533-position model. The record is from RNAcentral.